Molecule: ribosomal RNA, 332 nt
Filed under: uncultured rumen bacterium
Lineage: Bacteria
Description: bacterial SSU rRNA
Rfam family: Bacterial small subunit ribosomal RNA
Source: RNAcentral
UUGGCUCAGGAUGAACGCUGGCGGCGUGUCUUAUACAUGCAAGUCGAGCGAGGCAGCAAUGCCGAGCGGCGAACGGGUGAGUAACGCGUAAGCAAUCUGCCCCAUAUCAGGAAAUACCCGUGCCAACGCGCGGUUAAUGUCCAGGAGAGUGGCCCCCUGCAUGGGGGGUUGACUAGAGAUUUAUCGGUAUGGGAUGAGCUUGCGUCCGAUUAGCUAGUUGGCGGGGCAACGGCCCACCAAGGCGACGAUCGGUAGCCGGCCUGAGAGGGUGAUCGGCCACAUUGGGACUGAGAUACGGCCCAGACUCCUACGGGAGGCAGCAGUGGGGAAUA